This 254-nucleotide ribosomal RNA is filed under the name uncultured bacterium. RNAcentral's name for it is "partial 16S ribosomal RNA". It matches the Rfam family "Bacterial small subunit ribosomal RNA", at positions 526 to 779 of the family's 1533-position model. The record is from RNAcentral.
CGUAGGUGGCAAGCGUUGUCCGGAAUCAUUGGGCGUAAAGCGCGCGCAGGCGGUCCUUUAAGUCUGAUGUGAAAUCUCGCGGCUUAACCGCAAACGGUCAUUGGAAACUGGAGGACUUGAGUGCAGAAGAGGAAAGCGGAAUUCCAUGUGUAGCGGUGAAAUGCGUAGAGAUAUGGAGGAACACCAGUGGCGAAGGCGGCUUUCUGGUCUGCAACUGACGCUGAGGCGCGAAAGCGUGGGGAGCAAACAGGAUU